This 372-nucleotide ribosomal RNA is filed under the name uncultured prokaryote. RNAcentral describes it as "bacterial SSU rRNA". It matches the Rfam family "Bacterial small subunit ribosomal RNA", at positions 524 to 896 of the family's 1533-position model. The record is from RNAcentral.
UACGUAGGCAGCAAGCGUUGUUCGGAAUUACUGGGCGUAAAGAGUGUGUAGGCGGUGUUCCAAGUCUGUUGUGAAAUCUCCCGGCUUAACCGGGAGGGUGCGGCGGAAACUGGAAUGCUAGAGGAUGGGAGAGGUAAGCGGAAUUCCUGGUGUAGCGGUGAAAUGCGUAGAUAUCAGGAGGAACACCUGUGGUGUAGACAGCUUACUGGACCAUUUCUGACGCUGAGACACGAAAGCGUGGGUAGCAAACAGGAUUAGAUACCCUGGUAGUCCACGCCCUAAACGAUGCAUACUUGGUGUGAGCCAUUCAUUUGGUUCGUGCCGGAGCUAACGCGUUAAGUAUGCCGCCUGGGGAGUACGGUCGCAAGGCUG